RNAcentral lists this ribosomal RNA (497 nucleotides) under uncultured bacterium. Its description in RNAcentral is "partial 16S ribosomal RNA". It matches the Rfam family "Bacterial small subunit ribosomal RNA", at positions 28 to 507 of the family's 1533-position model. The record is from RNAcentral.
GAUGAACGCUGGCGGCGUGCCUAAUACAUGCAAGUCGAGCGAACGGACGAGAAGCUUGCUGCUCUGAUGUUAGCGGCGGACGGGUGAGUAACACGUGGAUAACCUACCUAUAAGACUGGGAUAACUUCGGGAAACCGGAGCUAAUACCGGAUAAUAUUUUGAACCGCAUGGUUCAAAAGUGAAAGACGGUCUUGCUGUCACUUAUAGAUGGAUCCGCGCUGCAUUAGCUAGUUGGUAAGGUAACGGCUUACCAAGGCAACGAUGCAUAGACGACCUGAGAGGGUGGUCGGCCACACUGGAACUGAGACGCGGUCCAGACUCCUACGGGAGGCAGCAGUAGGGAAUCUGCCGCAAUGGGCGAAAGCCUGACGGAGCAACGCGGCGUGAGUGAUGAAGGUCUUCGGAUCGUAAAACUGUGUUAUGAGGGAAGAACAUAUGUGGAAGUAACUGUGCACAUAUUGACGGUACCUAAUCAGAAAGCCACGGCUAACUACGUG